RNAcentral lists this ribosomal RNA (729 nucleotides) under Staphylococcus sp. Y32-MSE-E14. RNAcentral describes it as "bacterial SSU rRNA". It matches the Rfam family "Bacterial small subunit ribosomal RNA", at positions 56 to 769 of the family's 1533-position model. Lineage: Bacteria; Bacillati; Bacillota; Bacilli; Caryophanales; Staphylococcaceae. The record is from RNAcentral.
UGCAGUCGAGCGACGGAUAAGGAGCUUGCUCCUUUGAAGUUAGCGGCGGACGGGUGAGUAACACGUGGGUAACCUACCUAUAAGACUGGGAUAACUUCGGGAAACCGGAGCUAAUACCGGAUAACAUUUAGAACCGCAUGGUUCUAAAGUGAAAGAUGGUUUUGCUAUCACUUAUAGAUGGACCCGCGCCGUAUUAGCUAGUUGGUAAGGUAACGGCUUACCAAGGCGACGAUACGUAGCCGACCUGAGAGGGUGAUCGGCCACACUGGAACUGAGACACGGUCCAGACUCCUACGGGAGGCAGCAGUAGGGAAUCUUCCGCAAUGGGCGAAAGCCUGACGGAGCAACGCCGCGUGAGUGAUGAAGGGUUUCGGCUCGUAAAACUCUGUUAUUAGGGAAGAACAAAUGUGUAAGUAACUGUGCACAUCUUGACGGUACCUAAUCAGAAAGCCACGGCUAACUACGUGCCAGCAGCCGCGGUAAUACGUAGGUGGCAAGCGUUAUCCGGAAUUAUUGGGCGUAAAGCGCGCGUAGGCGGUUUCUUAAGUCUGAUGUGAAAGCCCACGGCUCAACCGUGGAGGGUCAUUGGAAACUGGGAAACUUGAGUGCAGAAGAGGAAAGUGGAAUUCCAUGUGUAGCGGUGAAAUGCGCAGAGAUAUGGAGGAACACCAGUGGCGAAGGCGACUUUCUGGUCUGUAACUGACGCUGAUGUGCGAAAGCGUGGGGAUC